UAGCUCAAUGGCAUAAGCACCUGCCUUGCAAGCAGGCGGUCCUGGGUUCGAUCCCAG
RNAcentral lists this transfer RNA (57 nucleotides) under Cavia porcellus (domestic guinea pig). It matches the Rfam family "tRNA", at positions 8 to 63 of the family's 71-position model. From Rfam's summary of the family: Transfer RNA (tRNA) molecules are approximately 80 nucleotides in length. Their secondary structure includes four short double-helical elements and three loops (D, anti-codon, and T loops). Lineage: Eukaryota; Metazoa; Chordata; Mammalia; Rodentia; Caviidae. The record is from Rfam by way of RNAcentral.